RNAcentral lists this ribosomal RNA (460 nucleotides) under uncultured bacterium. RNAcentral describes it as "partial 16S ribosomal RNA". It matches the Rfam family "Bacterial small subunit ribosomal RNA", at positions 338 to 795 of the family's 1533-position model. The record is from RNAcentral.
CCUACGGGAGGCAGCAGUGAGGAAUAUUGGUCAAUGGUCGAGAGUCUGAACCAGCCAAGUAGCGUGAAGGAUGACUGCCCUAUGGGUUGUAAACUUCUGUUAUAAAGGUAUAAAACGAGUCACGUGUGCCUUUUUGCAUGUACUUUAUGAAUGAGGACCGGCUAACUCCGUGCCAGCAGCCGCGGUAAUACGAAGGAUCCGAGCGUUAUCCGGAUUUAUUGGGUUUAAAGGGAGCGUAGAUGGGUUGUUAAGUCAGUUGUGAAAGGUUGCGUCUCAACCGUAAAAUUGCAAUUUGUACUGGCAGUCUUGAGUACAGUUGAGGUAGGCGGAAUUCGUGGUGUAGCGGUGAAAUGCUUAGAUAUCACGAAGAACCCCGAUUGCGAAGGCAGCUUACUAAACUGUGACUGACAUUGAUGCUCGAAAGUGUGGGUAUCAAACAGGAUUAGAUCCCCGAGUAGUC